Molecule: microRNA, 22 nt
Filed under: Glycine max (soybean)
Lineage: Eukaryota; Viridiplantae; Streptophyta; Magnoliopsida; Fabales; Fabaceae
Description: gma-miR10414
Source: miRBase by way of RNAcentral
UCUGAGAAGAACCAUUGGUACC